UUCCCUUGRCUCUGGGAUAAGCCCGGGAAACUGGGUCUAAUACCGGAUACGACCAGUCCUCGCAUGGGGUGCUGGUGGAAAGAUUUAUCGGUCUUGGAUGGACUCGCGGCCUAUCAGCUUGUUGGUGAGGUAAUGGCUCACCAAGGCGAUGACGGGUAGCCGGCCUGAGAGGGUGACCGGCCACRCUGGGRCUGAGACACGGCCMAKACUCCUACGGGAGGCAGCAGUGGGGAAUAUUGCACAAUGGGCGAAAGCCUGAUGCAGCGACGCCGCGUGCGGGAUGACGGCCUUCGGGUUGUAAACCGCUUUCAGCAGGGAAGAAGCGARAGUGACGGUACCUGCAGAAGAAGCGCCGGCUAACUACGUGCCAGCAGCCGCGGUAAUACGUAGGGCGCGAGCGUUAUCCGGAAUUAUUGGGCGUAAAGAGCUCGUAGGCGGUUUGUCACGUCUGCUGUGAAAGCCCGAGGCUCAACCUCGGGUGUGCAGUGGGUACGGGCAGACUAGAGUGCAGUAGGGGAGACUGGAAUUUCCUGGUGUAGCGGUGAAAUGCGCAGAUAUCAGGAGGAACACCGAUGGCGAAGGCAGGUCUCUGGGCUGUUACUGACGCUGAGGAGCGAAAGCAUGGGGAGCGAACAGGAUUAGAUACCCUGGUAGUCCAUGCCGUAAACGUUGGGCACUAGGUGUGGGGGACAUUCCACGUUUUCCGCGCCGUAGCUAACGCAUUAAGUGCCCCGCCUGGGGAGUACGGCCGCAAGGYUAAAACUCAAAGGAAUUGACGGGGGCCCGCACAAGCGGCGGAGCAUGCGGAUUAAUUCGAUGCAACGCGAAGAACCUUACCAAGGCUUGACAUGGACCGGAUCGCUGCAGAGAUGCAGUUUCCCUUCGGGGUCGGUUCACAGGUGGUGCAUGGUUGUCGUCAGCUCGUGUCGUGAGAUGUUGGGUUAAGUCCCGCAACGAGCGCAACCCCUAUCCUAUGUUGCCAGCACGUCAUGGUGGGGACUCAUGGGAGACUGCCGGGGUCAACUCGGAGGAAGGUGGGGACGA
Molecule: ribosomal RNA, 1044 nt
Filed under: Nesterenkonia lutea
Lineage: Bacteria; Bacillati; Actinomycetota; Actinomycetes; Micrococcales; Micrococcaceae
Description: bacterial SSU rRNA
Source: RNAcentral